Molecule: transfer RNA, 71 nt
Filed under: Stagonosporopsis vannaccii
Lineage: Eukaryota; Fungi; Ascomycota; Dothideomycetes; Pleosporales; Didymellaceae
Description: tRNA-Met
Rfam family: tRNA
About the family: Transfer RNA (tRNA) molecules are approximately 80 nucleotides in length.
Source: RNAcentral
CGCGGGUUGAUGUAAUAGUAACAUAUUUGGCUCAUGACCAGAGUAUAGAGGUGCAAUUCCUUUGUCCGCAU